GAUGAACGCUGGCGGCGUGCCUAAUACAUGCAAGUCGAGCGAACAGACGAGGAGCUUGCUCCUCUGACGUUAGCGGCGGACGGGUGAGUAACACGUGGAUAACCUACCUAUAAGACUGGGAUAACUUCGGGAAACCGGAGCUAAUACCGGAUAAUAUAUUGAACCGCAUGGUUCAAUAGUGAAAGACGGUUUUGCUGUCACUUAUAGAUGGAUCCGCGCCGCAUUAGCUAGUUGGUAAGGUAACGGCUUACCAAGGCAACGAUGCGUAGCCGACCUGAGAGGGUGAUCGGCCACACUGGAACUGAGACACGGUCCAGACUCCUACGGGAGGCAGCAGUAGGGAAUCUUCCGCAAUGGGUGAAAGCCUGACGGAGCAACGCCGCGUGAGUGAUGAAGGUCUUCGGAUCGUAAAACUCUGUUAUUAGGGAAGAACAAAUGUGUAAGUAACUAUGCACGUCUUGACGGUACCUAAUCAGAAAGCCACGGCUAACUACGCG
RNAcentral lists this ribosomal RNA (497 nucleotides) under uncultured bacterium. RNAcentral describes it as "partial 16S ribosomal RNA". It matches the Rfam family "Bacterial small subunit ribosomal RNA", at positions 28 to 507 of the family's 1533-position model. The record is from RNAcentral.